RNAcentral lists this microRNA precursor (59 nucleotides) under Caenorhabditis elegans. RNAcentral's name for it is "microRNA cel-mir-4809 precursor". The record is from miRBase by way of RNAcentral. Lineage: Eukaryota; Metazoa; Nematoda; Chromadorea; Rhabditida; Rhabditidae.
GUAAGUUCAGAGUUGAAUUAUCUUGAUCAUAUUUGAUAAUACAACUUCUGGGCUUCCAG